UCUGAAAAUUUUGCAAUGCAUUUUGUGAAAACUUUCAGCAUACUAGAGGAUGACAACAUCCUUAUUGUGGCAAAGAACAUCUACAAAAAUCCUGUAACUAACAUCAUACUUAAUGACAAAAUACUGAAUGCUUCCCUGUAAUAUUAGAGACUAGAUGAAAGCUAUGCCAGUGCCUCUCUUACCAAGGAUGUUUAUCAGCUUCCACAGCCAAAUACCCCACCUGCCCACAAUAGAGACCAAAACUAAAACCUUUAAAUGGCAGGAAUGGCCUUAGUUAUCAUUGCUUCCAACAACCCAUUUGGGGAAUUUGUGCUUCCCAUUUCUGAAACUCUGGGCUCUGCAGAAUUAGAAGACUUUGUCCCUAAGGGAAACAUUUCCACCAGGGUACAUAGCAAGAUUCCCAACUAUACUUUAAGCUAAGGUAGUAACCUCGAUUGUUUGGGUUUCACGUGACCAUGGUGCAGCAGAGAAGAAGAGGAGACACCAGCUUGACAGCAGAAAUUGACCCUGAUCAUCAGGAGAAAGUAGGGCUGCUAUUACACCCUGGGAGCCAGGGAAAAUGUGUUUGGCAGCCUGUUGACCCAAUUGGUUACCUCCUGGUACAUACUUGCCCAUUUACUUUAGUAACGAUAUAAGCAACAAUCUCAGAUUGAGAAGGGCAUGAUGACCAGGGCUCAGACCUCUUACGAGUGAAGAUCUGGAUUAACCACCAGGUAAACCACUGAAUCUAGCAGACGUGCUGGUGGAGGGUGAGAAGAAAUCUAGAGUGGAUAGUAGAGAAGGGAGACAAUGAUUAUGUGCUCUAACCCUAAAACCAGUUUCAGUGGUAGGGAAUAUAGGUCAUCCCAUUAAACUUUCUCUUCUAAAUUUCCCCCAGGAAUAGAGACCCAUCACAACUAUGAAGAAGCUGCUCCCAGAAUACAUAGGAAGAAGGAGAUCUGAGUGGCACAGGAGGUGGACUGCAGUGACAUGGAGAUGCACCACUCAGAUUCCCCUUCAAAGGAGGACUUGUUUCUGGCAGAGCUGCUGGGCAUGCCAGGAGUGCCGUCACUGUAACAGCCACCCUUCAGCUGUUACACCCUUUGCAGGGCAGGCCACAUCCAAAGAUUGAUCAAGAGAAGCAGUGAUUCAGUAUGCUGCUGUAGUUCUCUAACAAACCAGUACUCUGAGGAGAACAUCUCUCUGCUUAUUGUUGGACAUCACGGGCUAUAAGAUCUGCCGCCAUUCGCCUGGGUAACUGCACUUGGGAUAAUGAGAUAUCCAGACUUUUUCAAGGAAGGUGAAGGAAGUUCCUGAGCUACCCUCUGAUAUGACGUGACCAAAAACACUAUAACAGUCCUCUUGUUAGAGUGAGGGCUUAUAAAGAUCAGGAGACGAAUGGAAUUCCGGCCCAAGUCCAUCACAGAGUGGGUCCAAAGCAUCCACAGGCCUACCUCAUGAUUAUUUCUCAGGUCUCUGGGUGUGUAAUUGGGGUAGAUACACUUAUCAGCUGGGAGAACCCAGAGUAGAAAGUGUUAAUAAGCAGGCCUAAUAGUGUGUCUUUAGAAAGCCCUGCUUGCAAGAUUGGCCCUUGGCUGUUAUCUGGGAACGUGGACUGGGGAGUGUUCCCAUGGUCCCUUACUGCUGGCUUUCUUGGAAUUCUGAAUUCACAGAUCCCAAUUGCCUCCUGCAUGUUCCAAGCAGAACAUUUGCAGCUGUUGUACACUCCUGUGAGGUGGAUAAAUUGAUAUCAUGGGCAAGAAAAACUCUUUUUGGUGCUGACUGCCUCAGGAAGCCCCUCUGAAACCAAGGACAGAACUGAAUUAUUUGGAUCGAACUGAAAAUCCUGCAGCAGGAGGCCCCAUACUUGGAGGCCAACUAGGAGUCGUCAGCUAGCACUGCCCAACCAACGUAUGUUCUGCUUGGUGUCCCCUACCAGUUGUAAACUCUUUUGCUUCCAGGGGUACCACAUGUGCCCGCUGGACUAUAUUUCUUCCAUGUGUACCCUGACUAUCACAACACUGCCUCACCCAACACAGCAUAUGGGUCAGCUUCAACUUACUAGCCAGAGCUGUGCUGUGCCUCAGUUGAUGCUUUAGGCCAAUGUGGAUAAAAUGAGAGUUCCUGUGGCCAGUAUUCUCACCUGACCCUGGUUGACUAGCUCACUGCACACCUGUGGGCAAUACAUGGCUGUUGACUCUAUAUAAAGAGCU
Molecule: long non-coding RNA, 2192 nt
Organism: Manis pentadactyla (Chinese pangolin)
Lineage: Eukaryota; Metazoa; Chordata; Mammalia; Pholidota; Manidae
Exons: 3
Source: RefSeq, a predicted model, not a curated record